CCUACGGGUUGCACCAGUGGGGAAUAUUGCACAAUGGGCGCAAGCCUGAUGCAGCCAUGCCGCGUGUAUGAAGAAGGCCUUAGGGUUGUAAAGUACUUUCAGUUGGGAGGAAGGCGUUGAUGCUAAUGUCAUCAACGAUUGACGUUACCAACAGAAGAAGCACCGGCUAACUCCGUGCCAGCAGCCGCGGUAAUACGGAGGGUGCAAGCGUUAAUCGGAAUUACUGGGCGUAAAGCGCACGCAGGCGGUCUGUCAAGUCGGAUGUGAAAUCCCCGGGCUCAACCUGGGAACUGCAUUCGAAACUGGCAGGCUAGAGUCUUGUAGAGGGGGGUAGAAUUCCAGGUGUAGCGGUGAAAUGCGUAGAGAUCUGGAGGAAUACCGGUGGCGAAGGCGGCCCCCUGGACAAAGACUGACGCUCAGGUGCGAAAGCGUGGGGAGCAAACAGGAUUAGAUACCCCGUAGUC
RNAcentral lists this ribosomal RNA (464 nucleotides) under uncultured bacterium. RNAcentral's name for it is "bacterial SSU rRNA". It matches the Rfam family "Bacterial small subunit ribosomal RNA", at positions 338 to 795 of the family's 1533-position model. The record is from RNAcentral.